UUAAUGAGGGGAGGAAAAGAAACUAACAAGGAUUUUCUUAGUAGCGGCGAGCGAAAAGAAAAUAGUUCAGCACUAAGUCACUUUGUCUUUAUGGCAAAUGUGAGAUGCAGUGUAUGGAAUGUCAAAUUUCUAGUAUGAGAAAUUAACGAUUUAAGUCCUUCUUAAAUGAGGCCAUUUACCCAAAGAGGGUGCCAGGCCCGUAUAACGUUAAUGAUUACUAGAUGGCAUUUCCAAAGAGUCGUGUUGCUUGAUAGUGCAGCACUAAGUGGGUGGUAAACUCCAUCUAAAACUAAAUAUAACCAUGAGACCGAUAGUAAACAAGUACCGUGAGGGAAAGUUGAAAAGAACUCUGAAUAGAGAGUUAAAUAGUACGUGAAACUGCUUAGAGGUUAAGCCCGAUGAACCUGAAUAUCCGUUAUGGAAAAUUCAUCAUUAUGAUUUUAAUAUUUAUAAUAUUAUAAUAAUGGUGUGCAUUUUUUCUAUAAAGGACAUUGUAAUCUAUUAACUUUACAUUAUUUAUCAUAAGAUCAUUAGAUUAUGUUUAUUCAAAUUAUUUUGCUUGCAAUUUAAUAUCGAAUAAAUUCUUUUGAUUUGAUAAAGCGUUGAUAGAUUUAUUAUAUACAGUGCUUAAAUAUUUAUAUUUUAUAAUAUCAUAUUAAUCAAUGAUUUUUAUGUUCAUUAUAUGCACUUGUAUGAUUAACAAUGCGAAAGAUUCAGGAUACCUUCGGGACCCGUCUUGAAACACGCAAGUUAUUGGGAAUAAAAACCUAAUAGCGAAAUUAACAUAACUUUAAUGGGAUUAGUUUUUAGCCUAUUUAUAGUCUAUUAAUUCAAUCCCGGGGCGUUCUAUACAGUUAUGUAUAAUAAUAUUUAUAUUAUUUAUACCUCUAACUAGAGCGUNNNNNNNGCAUAUAUGCUGUGACCCGAAAGAUGGUGAACUAUACUUGAUCAGGUUGAAGUCAGGGGAAACCCUGAUGGAAGACCCAAACAGUUCUGACUUGCAAAUCUAUUGUCAGAAUUGAGUAUAGGGGCGAAAGACCAAUCGAACCAUCUAGUAGCUGGUUCCCUCCGAAGUUUCCCUCACGAUAGCUGGUGCAUUAAAAAAUUAUGUAAAAUAAUCUUAUCUGGUAAAGCGAAUGAUUAGAGGCCUUGGGGUCAAAACGAUCUUAACCUAUUCUCAAACUUUAAAUGGGUAAGAACCUCACCUUUCGUGGUAUGAAGGUUGUGGUUGUGAUAUAAUGUGCCCAGUGGGCCACUUUUGGUAAGCAGAACUGGCGCUGUGGGAUGAACCAAACGUAAUGUUACGGUGCCCAAAUUAACAACUCAUGCAGAUACCAUGAAAGGCGUUGGUUGCUUAAAACAGCAGGACGGUGGACAUGGAAGUCGUAAUCCGCUAAGGAGUGUGUAACAACUCACCUGCCGAAGCAACUAGCCCUUAAAAUGGAUGGCGCUUAAGUUGUAUACCUAUACAUUACCGCUAAAGUAGAUGGUUUAUAUUCAAUUUCGGUUGGAUUUUAAACUUUGAAACUUUAGUGAGUAGGAGGGUACAAUGGUGAGCAUAGAAGUGUUUGGCGUAAGCCUGCAUGGAGCUGCCAUUGGCACAGAUCUUGGUGGUAGUAGCAAAUAAUCGAAUGAGACCUUGGAGGACUGAAGUGGAGAAGGGUUUCGUGUGAACAGUGGUUGAUCACGAGUUAGUCGGUCCUAAGUUCAAGGCGAGAGCCGAAAAUUUUCAAGUUAUAAUGAAUAAGUAAAAUAUAUACAAGUAUAUAUAAGAAAAAGUAAUAAAACACUUGAAUAAUUUUGAACGAAAGGGAAUACGGUUCCAAUUCCGUAACCUGUUGAGUAUCCGUUUGUUAUUAAAUAUGGGCCUUGUGCUCAUCCUGGCAACAGGAACGACCAUAAAGAAGCCGUCGAGAGAUAUCGGAAGAGUUUUCUUUUCUGUUUUAUAGUCGUACUACCAUGGAAGUCUUUCGAAGAGAGAUAUGGUAGAUGGACUAGAAGAGCAUGA
RNAcentral lists this ribosomal RNA (2008 nucleotides) under Lucilia sericata (common green bottle fly). RNAcentral describes it as "eukaryotic LSU rRNA". It matches the Rfam family "Eukaryotic large subunit ribosomal RNA", at positions 43 to 1768 of the family's 3401-position model. Lineage: Eukaryota; Metazoa; Arthropoda; Insecta; Diptera; Calliphoridae. The record is from RNAcentral.